This 255-nucleotide ribosomal RNA is filed under the name uncultured bacterium. Its description in RNAcentral is "partial 16S ribosomal RNA". It matches the Rfam family "Bacterial small subunit ribosomal RNA", at positions 524 to 776 of the family's 1533-position model. The record is from RNAcentral.
UACGGAGGUGGCAAGCGUUGUUCGGAAUUACUGGGCGUAAAGGGCGCGUAGGCGGAAUGGUCCGUCCGAUGUGAAAGUGCUACCGCUCAACGGAGCAAAGCCAUCGGAUACCACCAUUCUUGAGUUCGGGAGAGGUGAGUGGAAUUGCUGGUGUAGCGGUGGAAUGUAUAGAUAUCAGCAAGAACACCGGUGGCGAAGGCGGCUCACUGGCCCGAUUCUGACGCUGAGUGCGCGAAAGCGUGGGGAGCAAACGGG